This 618-nucleotide ribosomal RNA is filed under the name uncultured bacterium. Its description in RNAcentral is "bacterial SSU rRNA". The stretch from base 1 to 525 matches the Rfam family "Bacterial small subunit ribosomal RNA", at positions 338 to 873 of the family's 1533-position model. The record is from RNAcentral.
CCUACGGGAGGCAGCAGUGAGGAAUUUUCUGCAAUGGGCGAAAGCCUGACAGAGCAAUACCGCGUGAGGGAUGAAGGCCUACGGGUUGUAAACCUCUUUUCUCAAGGAGGAAGAUCUGACGUUACUUGAGGAAUAAGCAUCGGCUAACCCUGUGCCAGCAGCCGCGGUAAUACAGGGGAUGCAAGUGUUAUCCGGAAUUAUUGGGCGUAAAGCGUCUGCAGGUUGAUAUUUAAGUCUUUUGUUAAACCUCCGGGCUCAACCCGGAAUCUGCAAAGGAAACUAUAUAUCUUGAGUAUGGUAGGGUAAAGGGAAUUUCCAGUGGAGCGGUGAAAUGCGUAGAUAUUGGAAAGAACACCAACAGCGAAGGCACUUUACUGGGCCAGUACUGACACUCAGAGACGAAAGCUAGGGGAGCAAACAGGAUUAGAUACCCUGGUAGUCCUAGCUGUAAACGAUGGAUACUAGAUGUUGUGUUACCGUUUGGUAUGUCAGUGUCGUAGUCGUACGUACGUUAGUAGUACCGUCCGUCGGUAGUAGUGUCGUCGCGAGAGUAGAACGUACAAUAGUAAGUUAGUACGGCGUGAGACGUGCCGACGGACGACCGACGAGGGAGGUAGG